This 247-nucleotide long non-coding RNA is filed under the name Carica papaya (papaya). Its description in RNAcentral is "long non-coding RNA (CPAP_LNC015410)". The record is from RNAcentral. Lineage: Eukaryota; Viridiplantae; Streptophyta; Magnoliopsida; Brassicales; Caricaceae.
GAGGCCAAAUCGCCCACAUCGAAAGGUAAAAUCGUUCUAUUUUAAUGUUUUGAUGGGGGUUGAGUGGCAGUGGGGUGGGGCUGGUGUCGGGCUAACCGCGCUGGCUCAGCCAGGCCACCCACCCGCAUAGGAAUCGAGAGGCUUCUUCGAGAAUGGGGAUAGCCGACCCAUUCAGGAAGCCAAAGGGUCUUCCCCGAGCAUGGAAAUCCGAUCCACCAUUUUGGGUUCCGAUUUUUCAUCUAGGAAG